Molecule: ribosomal RNA, 253 nt
Filed under: uncultured bacterium
Lineage: Bacteria
Description: partial 16S ribosomal RNA
Rfam family: Bacterial small subunit ribosomal RNA
Source: RNAcentral
UACAGAGGUCUCAACCGUUGUUCGGAUUCAUUGGGCGUAAAGGUGCGUAGGCGGUCGCGCAAGUCGGAUGUGAAAUCUUAGGGCUCAACCCUGAAACUGCAUUCGAUACUGCGUGGCUCGAGUACUGGAGAGGAGACUGGAAUUUACGGUGUAGCAGUGAAAUGCGUAGAUAUCGUAAGGAAGACCAGUGGCGAAAGGCGAGUCUCUGGACAGUUACUGACGCUGAGGCACGAAGGCCAGGGGAGCAAACGGG